This 579-nucleotide ribosomal RNA is filed under the name uncultured bacterium. Its description in RNAcentral is "bacterial SSU rRNA". It matches the Rfam family "Bacterial small subunit ribosomal RNA", at positions 102 to 680 of the family's 1533-position model. The record is from RNAcentral.
ACGGGUGAGUAAUGCAUAGGAAUCUGCCCUGUAGUGGGGGAUAACUUGGGGAAACCUGAGCUAAUACCGCAUAUCUUCUGAGGAAGAAAGUUAGGGGUAACUCUGACGCUGUAGGAUGAGCCUAUGUCUGAUUAGCUAGUUGGUUAGGUAAAGGCUGACCAAGGCGAUGAUCGGUAACUGGUCUGAGAGGACGGACAGUCACACUGGGACUGAGACACGGCCCAGACUCCUACGGGAGGCAGCAGUGGGGAAUAUUGGACAAUGGGGGCAACCCUGAUCCAGCGAUGCCGCGUGUGUGAAGAAGGCCUGCGGGUUGUAAAGCACUUUUAUUGGGGAAGAGUGGUGUGGUGGUUCAUAGCCAUUGCAUUUGACGGUACCCAAGGAAUAAGCACCGGCUAACUCUGUGCCAGCAGCCGCGGUAAUACAGAGGGUGCGAGCGUUAAUCGGAAUUACUGGGCGUAAAGGGCGCGUAGGCGGGCUAAUAAGUCAGAUGUGAAAGUCCUGGGCUUAACCUGGGGAUUGCAUUUGAAACUGUUGGUCUGGAGUGAAGUAGAGGGUGGCGGAAUUUCCGGUGUAGCG